Molecule: long non-coding RNA, 242 nt
Filed under: Dermacentor andersoni
Lineage: Eukaryota; Metazoa; Arthropoda; Arachnida; Ixodida; Ixodidae
Description: uncharacterized LOC126531192
Source: RNAcentral
AAAAUAUGCCUGAUAUUCUCGACUAUUUAUAUGUUACGAACGACAACAACCAUAUUGAGAUUAAGAAAGAGGUGGAACAAAUUGCCGACAGAUUGAAACAGGCAUUCAAUGAAACGCUUCAAAACAACAGCUGGAUCGACAAUACGACGCGAGCAGCUUUACAGGAAAAGUUGAAAAAUGUGACAAUGAGAAUAGGAUACGAGGACACGCUAUUGAACCGGUCAUCACUCUACGAAUACGUA